GUGGGGAAUAUUGGGCAAUGGGCGCAAGCCUGACCCAGCAACGCCGCGUGAGGGAAGAAGGUCUUCGGAUUGUAAACCUCUGUCCUUGGUGAAAAGUAAGAGAUGGUAGCCAAGGAGGAAGCUCCGGCUAACUACGUGCCAGCAGCCGCGGUAAUACGUAGGGAGCGAGCGUUGUCCGGAAUGAUUGGGCGUAAAGGGCGUGUAGGCGGCCGUUUAAGUCUGGAGUGAAAUUCCUGUUUUUAAGGUAGGAACUGCUUUGGAAACUGGACGGCUUGAGUGCAGGAGAGGUUAUCGGAAUUCCCGGUGUAGCGGUGAAAUGCGUAGAGAUCGGGAGGAACACCAGUGGCGAAGGCGGGUAACUGGACUGCAACUGACGCUCAUGUGCGAAAGCUAGGGCAGCGAACGGGAUUAGAAACCCUGGUAGUCC
This 427-nucleotide ribosomal RNA is filed under the name uncultured bacterium. RNAcentral's name for it is "partial 16S ribosomal RNA". It matches the Rfam family "Bacterial small subunit ribosomal RNA", at positions 354 to 796 of the family's 1533-position model. The record is from RNAcentral.